This is a long non-coding RNA of Neofelis nebulosa (Clouded leopard), 635 nucleotides long. RefSeq lists it as uncharacterized. NCBI's taxonomy places the organism in Eukaryota, Metazoa, Chordata, Mammalia, Carnivora, Felidae. The record is from RefSeq and is a predicted model, not a curated record. The transcript is spliced from 2 exons.
ACACGACCCUGCUCCCGAAGCCGUGCUCCCCGCCAUCGAGUGGCCUGCUCCUCCCAUCCGGCGAGCGGUGGACCGGAGCCGGGCAGGCGGCACUGAAAUCUCGGCACGGGGCACGGGCCGCGGCACAGCCUACAUCCUGUCCGACGGAAGCAGCCAGGACUCGUGUGCCGGGGACAGCCGGUGCCUCACGGGGACCGUCGCCUUGACCUGACACCGUGAGCCGAAGAUGCCCCUUCUGGUGGCCGCUCGCGAGCCGACAACUCCAGCACGUGGCUCGCCCGGUAGGCCGCAGGUGACAGAAUCUCUCAGAGAAGGCAGUUCGGGCAGAAAAGGAGCUUGGCAGCUCCCAUGCAUGAGACGCCAGGCAAGCGAGCCUUCAGGACCGGCUCGAUCCAGUCCACCGGAGAGGGCCACGCUGUUUCCUCCUGCUCUGGUGGCUAUCGUUUCUGCCGUUUGGUUGCCUUCUCAGGCUCUGUGAGGCACGGGUGAUGGCCCUCGGUGCACCUCGUCAUGACGGGAAGAAAGGAACCUACUUGCCUCGGCCACAAAUUCUAGAAACGGUCACACUGACUGCCACUGGGACCCUUGCUGUUCGGGGCUGAAUUGUGUCUCCAAGAAAGAUGUGGAAAUCCUAA